RNAcentral lists this small nucleolar RNA (239 nucleotides) under Balearica regulorum gibbericeps (East African grey crowned-crane). Its description in RNAcentral is "Balearica pavonina gibbericeps Small nucleolar RNA SNORD17". It matches the Rfam family "Small nucleolar RNA SNORD17". From Rfam's summary of the family: The snoRNA HBI-43 belongs to the C/D family of snoRNAs, guiding 2'O-ribose methylation at position U3797 of the 28S rRNA. Lineage: Eukaryota; Metazoa; Chordata; Aves; Gruiformes; Gruidae. The record is from Rfam by way of RNAcentral.
GUGAGGUGAUGAUGAAGUUUAUCCAUUCUCUGAGUGCAGUGGUGCUGCCCUCCUGCAGCACCCUGAUUCCUGUUCUAGGGUCUGGGUGCUGUGCAGCCUCCAGACACCCUCCAGUCUCCUAAUGGAGAGCUGCUGUGGUGUGUGGCUGGCUGCCUGCAGGAGUGACAUGGUGCUGGCAGGGUUGGAGCCCCUCUUUGCGGGCUCCAUCCCCACCGAGAUGAGGGAUGAUGUCUGAUCAC